Long non-coding RNA from Paramisgurnus dabryanus, 1149 nucleotides. RefSeq lists it as uncharacterized. The record is from RefSeq and is a predicted model, not a curated record. Lineage: Eukaryota; Metazoa; Chordata; Actinopteri; Cypriniformes; Cobitidae.
UCUUGAUGUAACCUUGCUGUAGCCAUUGCUGUAAUGUGCCAGGUGUACUUGCAAUAAUCAGAGAAAGUGCGCCAACGUCAAAUCACACAGAGGGAGAGAGAGCACAACUCCUGGCUGCAGCUGAAGGAGGACGAUUGAUUUCUGGCAGUUCGUCUUACCAUUGCUUGUAAGCUGGAUUGGGUAAGAUGGAUCAUCUUUAAAGGCACCAGGAGUUAAGGCAGAUGUGGAGGCACAACGGGUGAUACCAGACACACACCAAGCACAUUAUGUUUGGACAUUCAAUCAUGACAUGAUCCAGGUGGAUGCUGUCCAUUGAGGAAAGUUUGUUCAGCGGUUUCUGGAUAGAAUUAAUUCCAAAGAUGGGAAAAAGUGCACAUCCAGACAAGGAGCAAGCAAAAAGACAAGGAACUUGGUGCAGAGAAAAGCUGUGGCCAUUAACCCCUGUGAACAGCUUCAUGCAGUCGCUGAUUGAGUUCGAAUGGACGACUUCAAAGUAAAGGCCACUGUGGUCUGUCUGCCACAGUUUAAUUUUUAAUUUAUUUUUAGUGUUCAAUGAAAUUCAAGUAGAAUAUUUAAAACUAUGGGCCAGUGUUGUUUUUACCACAGUGAAAUGUUACCUUUUAGUCGAUGAUGGACUUUAAACUGAAAACUUCAAACUAUGGAACAGUGUUCUAUUUGCCAGAGUUAAAUAUGUUACAGCAGGGGUCUCCAAACUUGUUUAUACUUGUUGAUUUUAUUUUAUGUUACUUGAUUAUAUGUUUAUUAUUGUUUAAAAUCUUGUUUUAAAUAUGUUUGUUUCAAUUAAAUGUUUUUUUUAAUAAAAUUUUGAUACAAACAUUGCUUGGAUUGCCUUUUAAUUCAUUAUGUUUUAAUUUAGCAUUUUUACCAUAUUAAUAACUAUAGAUUUAAACCUAAAUCUCUAGCUAUUUUAUAUAAUAUUAUUGUAUUAACUGUAAUAAGUAAUAAAUAGUAUUUAUGGGUCAAUAUAGACAUUACAGUAAAUUACUGUAAAAAUAGACUACUGUAAUAAAAUAUUGUAAAAUUACAGUACAGUACUGCUUUGUAACUAUACAGUACUAGUUUGUGUACUGUAAAAUGGUAUUACAGUACAGUACUGUAAAACCAAAAUACAGUAACUUACUGGCAACC